GGAUUAGAUACCCCGGGUAGUCCACGCCGUAAACGAUGGAUACUGGCUGUUGGAGGUAUCGACCCCUUCAGUAGCGAAGCUAACGCGUUAAGUAUCCCGCCUGUGGAGUACGGCCGCAAGGCUAAAACAUAAAGGAAUUGACGGGGACCCGCACAAGCGGUGGAUCGUGUUCUUUAAUUCGAUGCUAAACGAAGAACCUUACCAGGGCUUGACAUCCAGGGAAUUUUUGGGAAACCAAUUAGUGCCGUUUGGAACCCUGUGACAGGUGAUGCAUGGCCGUCGUCAGCUCGUGUCGUGAGAUGUUUGGUUAAGUCCAUCAACGAGCGCAACCCUUGUGUCUAGUUGUAUUUUUCUAGACAGACUGCUUCGGUAACGGAGAGGAAGGAGGGGAUGAUGUCAGGUCAGUAUUUCCCUUACGUCCUGGGCUAGAAACACGAUACAAUGGCUAGUACAAUGCGCAGCGAAGCCGCGAGGUGAAGCAAAUCGCACCAAAGCUAGUCCCAGUUCGGAUUGGAGGCUGAAACUCGCCUCCAUGAAGUCGGAAUCGCUAGUAAUCGCAAAUCAGCAAGUUGCGGUGAAUACGUUCCCGGGUCUUGUACACACCGCCCGUCAAACCAUGAAAGUGACCAACACCCGAAGUCCGAUUCGUCGGCCUAAGGUGGGGGGCAUGAUUGGGGUUH
This 680-nucleotide ribosomal RNA is filed under the name uncultured Candidatus Saccharibacteria bacterium. Its description in RNAcentral is "bacterial SSU rRNA". It matches the Rfam family "Bacterial small subunit ribosomal RNA", at positions 775 to 1483 of the family's 1533-position model. The record is from RNAcentral. Lineage: Bacteria; Candidatus Saccharimonadota.